CAGUAGCCGCGGUAAUACGGAGGGUGCAAGCGUUAAUCGGAAUUACUGGGCGUAAAGCGCACGCAGGCGGUCUGACAAGUCAGAUGUGAAAUCCCCGGGCUUAACCUGGGAACUGCAUUUGAAACUGUCAGGCUGGAGUCUUGUAGAGGGGGGUGGAAUUCCAGGUGUAGCGGUGAAAUGCGUAGAGAUCUGAAGGAAUACCGGUGGCGAAGGCGGCCCCCUGGACAAAGACUGACGCUCAGGUGCGAAAGCGUGGGGAGCAAACAGGAUUAGAUACCCGAGUAGUCCCUGUCUCUUAUAC
Molecule: ribosomal RNA, 301 nt
Filed under: uncultured bacterium
Lineage: Bacteria
Description: partial 16S ribosomal RNA
Rfam family: Bacterial small subunit ribosomal RNA
Source: RNAcentral